Long non-coding RNA from Papio anubis (olive baboon), 1651 nucleotides. The record is from Ensembl. NCBI's taxonomy places the organism in Eukaryota, Metazoa, Chordata, Mammalia, Primates, Cercopithecidae.
AUGCAUAUUUCCUCAGUGGUAAAUUUCAACUUCCUCAGCCAGGAGAAAAACCGAAAAUGCUACCAACAAUAAAUACCACAAAAAACAAAGCUUUAAAAUGGCAUUUUUCACAUGCAUUCAAUAAUUUUAAAUUACAGGAUCUGGUCUCAAUAAGAAUAUAUGUAGUGUGUAGAUGUGUGUAAUAUAUUCACACACAUAUGUAACUGUAUAUGUAUAUUUGCACAUUUACGCAUGCAGGCUUACUAAAACAAAUAAUGUCAAUAACUUAUGACAUGCUUAUUCUUCCUCCUCUUUCUAUUUUUUUCUUUUUUUUUUUUUUUUUUCUUUGAGGCGUUUAGUGGCUGGUCAGGGAAUCUAAAGACAAUUUAUAGUAAAAUUUCUAUUUUAGUAUGCCUUUCAGUUCUAAGCAACUAACUUACCAACUUUUCAAACACAAUUUGUCUGCAUAGAGAAGACCAUUACACAGGAAGAAAACAAUAAUAGAGGCAGCAUUGCAGCUCUCAGGAAUACACAGGACAACCGAGGCAUGCUGAGAGUUUGGAAAACUCAUUUCUCCAGUUACUGUGGUGGUUUCCACUUCUGGGCUGAACUGACCAAGAAGGACACCAAGAAUUCAGAUGCCUUGCUUCAUGGAGAAUGGUGUGGUCAGAGAAAGGCCAGAAGAGGUUUUCUAAAGUAUUUUGCUCCAGGAAGGGUCCCAUCUUUCUAACGCUAGGGAUGGAACCAAUUUUAAGCUGUUGUAGAGAUGGAGCAUAAACUACGGAUGCACAGAAACUGGUAGGUAGAAAAGAGAGGUAUGCAAUAAGGGAAAGAAUAAAUUGGUUGAGUGUGAAAAGAGAAGAGUGAAAUGCCACAGAGUAGUGGAAAAAAAACAAUCAAGAAGCUCCACAAAAUCAUGUUACUGAAGUCUCUAGAACUUCCUGGGACUCUGUAUGGAUCUUUCAUUCCUGUGUCUUCUUGGGGCCAUGCCUAGAUCACUGUCUUUUUGUGUUUUCCUGUCCAUGUAUACUUACGGUAAAUCUCCAUUAUUGGAGGUAACUUGAAUGAGUGUGUUGUUACAGGUAAAACAGCCUAAUUAAAUCAGGAGCGCUUAGAAGACACUGAACACUGUGGAAGGUGAUAUCAUUUGAGAUGAGUCUAAGAUAGGCAGCCCUGGUUGGGGAACUAUAUGAGCAAAUAAGCCAGUGAAAGUUGGGUGAAGGGGUAGAGAGAAGAAGAGUGGGGAAUCCUCUUUUAGAGAUUAAGACAAUGGUGACUGCCUUAUACAGUUCACUUCUGGUAAGACUUGAAAUCUAUCUUCCCAUAAAAUAUGAAAGUACAUAGAACUCCUAACCUCCUAUAGCCCAGCUAGGCAGUGGCAUACCUGAAUGCCAUGGACAAGCAGGAGAACUCAGCACCAGAUUCACAGCAUUGCUUUUCUGGAGAACCAGUCUCAGUUUCCCAGAAGGGAGCUUAGAAGCUCACAUUUGGAAAACAAACAAACAAACAAACAAUAAGAUUAUGGAUGUUUACCUAGACUAUUGUUUUGCUUCGUUUUUUGCAAUUUUGGACAAAAUGUUAACAUCUUUAAUCAUAAAUGAACUCUUCGGAAAUCAGUACAAAGAGACUAACAUUACAAGGUAAGCGAAAAUAAAAGGAACAGAGAAAAAUG